Molecule: non-coding RNA, 45 nt
Organism: Schistosoma rodhaini
Lineage: Eukaryota; Metazoa; Platyhelminthes; Trematoda; Strigeidida; Schistosomatidae
Source: Rfam
AUCCAGCUGACAAAUCACAAAUAGGAUGAAACGCGCAUCCUGGAU